This 468-nucleotide ribosomal RNA is filed under the name uncultured bacterium. Its description in RNAcentral is "partial 16S ribosomal RNA". It matches the Rfam family "Bacterial small subunit ribosomal RNA", at positions 28 to 507 of the family's 1533-position model. The record is from RNAcentral.
GACGAACGCUGGCGGCGUGCUUAACACAUGCAAGUCGAACGGAAAGGCCCUGCUUUUGUGGGGUGCUCGAGUGGCGAACGGGUGAGUAACACGUGAGUAACCUGCCCUUGACUUUGGGAUAACUUCAGGAAACUGGGGCUAAUACCGGAUAGGAGCUCCUGCUGCAUGGUGGGGGUUGGAAAGUUUCGGCGGUUGGGGAUGGACUCGCGGCUUAUCAGCUUGUUGGUGGGGUAGUGGCUUACCAAGGCUUUGACGGGUAGCCGGCCUGAGAGGGUGACCGGCCAAAUUGGGACUGAGAUACGGCCCAGACUCCUACGGGAGGCAGCAGUGGGGAAUAUUGAAAAAUGGGCGGAAGCCUGAUGCAGCAACGCCGCGUGCGGGAUGACGGCCUUCGGGUUGUAAACCGCUUUCGCCUGUGACGAAGCGUGAGUGACGGUAAUGGGUAAAGAAGCACCGGCUAACUACGUG